Molecule: ribosomal RNA, 253 nt
Filed under: uncultured bacterium
Lineage: Bacteria
Description: partial 16S ribosomal RNA
Rfam family: Bacterial small subunit ribosomal RNA
Source: RNAcentral
UACGUACCGUCCAAACGUUAUUCGGAAUUACUGGGCUUAAAGGGUAUGUAGGCGGCGCUGUUAGUCGGGUGUGAAAUCCCACGGCUCAACCGUGGAAUUGCGCCCGAUACUGCAGUGCUUGAGGGAGACAGAGGUAAGCGGAACUGAUGGUGGAGCGGUGAAAUGCGUUGAUAUCAUCAGGAACACCGGUGGCGAAAGCGGCUUACUGGGUCUCUUCUGACGCUGAGAUACGAAAGCCAGGGGAGCGAACCGG